Molecule: long non-coding RNA, 684 nt
Organism: Manacus vitellinus (golden-collared manakin)
Lineage: Eukaryota; Metazoa; Chordata; Aves; Passeriformes; Pipridae
Exons: 3
Source: RefSeq, a predicted model, not a curated record
GGCGUGGGCGGCUCUUCCUCCUCUCUCUCGGAGAAGCCGACAGCCUGCCCCGAAGGGCAUCUCUGCGGGAGUGCGGGGGCCGGCACCCGCUGUUCGGGGACUUCUCCGGGGCCCUUGCCUGUCCCCCGCCCUUCCUGUACCCGACCCUGCGGCCCUUCCCUUGUCUGCGACACUGCGCCGCGCACCCCCAAGGCACUCGGCUGGGACACCUUUCUUCGGGACCAUGAUAUACUUUUCGUUAUUACUGAGCUGUCGUAAAUAAUUUAACCUUGAAAGUGGCUUAUUUCAACACACGGCCCAUCACUGGCACUGCCAAGUCGCCAUCUCUGAGCUGUCUGCAGCCCUUUCCUUCGCACCCGGGUGGCUUUGGAGGAGGAUGGGCUCCGUCAGUGGUGGAGUAGGCGUCAAGUGUUCAUGAAGUGAGAAAGUCCACUCUUCUUUUUCAGGAGGUUUUUCAGAUUGAGCUGUCUGUAUAUUGACUCGCUGAGAGGGACUGCAGUCUGUUUCAGUGAUGAAUGAGGUUCAGAAGAGUUAUAAGUACAAGCUGCAGCUCUGUGGAGUUUGGAGAACUACCUCUGCAGCGACUUUCCACCUGGCAAGACUUGCAUUUGCUUUAUGGGAUGAUGGCACAGUUGUGAAAAACUGAGGAGAAAGACUCAGAGGGAGAGCAGCUACACAGGUCAA